AUGCGAUUCCAGAAUGUAGAGAAAGCAAGGGAAUUUUAUAACAGAUACGCCAGACACACUAGUUUUGGAAUCAGGAAGACGGGAGGGAAUGGCAAUCACAAGUAUUUUGUUUGCACGUUCCAAGGGAAACACACAACUUCUAUUUCAGAGGCUGACAGGAAGCGAAACAAAACAUCGCAGAGGACAGGCUGCAAUGCAAGAAUGAGGGUGAAGGUGCAGGAGGAUAACACAUGUGUGGUAGUGGACAUUGAGUACAAUCAUAAUCACCACCUCAUGCAAACUGAUGACAUGCUGGUCUUCUUGCACUCACACAAGAAUUAUGACCCCACUAUUUUGGAGUACGUAAAGCUCCUCAUGUACCAUGAUGUCAAGCACACAACAAUCAUGUUCAUGCUAUCUGAAAAUGAAGAUGGAAGCUACUUCCUAGCAGCCGUACGAGACCUACUAAACCGGAAAGCCAUGAAUGCAAGGAAAGAUGAUUUGGAUGAUGUAUUAAAACUUGUAUAUUUCUUUAAAGACAUGAAGGCAAUCAAUGCUGAGUUUUACUAUGACAUACUAUCCAAUGCAAGCUGCCGAGGAGCGUAUCAAGACUUUGGCGACUGCGUAACAUUCGACACAACUUACAAGACCAACAGAUUUCAUAUGCCUGUGGCAGUAUUUGUUGGAACAAACCAUCACUUGUAGUCAACGAUAUUUGUUGUUGCCCUGAUCAGAGAUGAAGAUGCAAAAUCAUUCAAGUGGCUAUCCGAUACAUUUGUACGGUGCAUGAACAACAAACACCCAACUUGCAUUCUAACAAACCAGUGACCGUCGAUGGCGAAAGCUAUACCACAAUCAUUCCCAAACACCGUCCACAAGCUAUGCCGUUGGCACAUCAUGAAGAAGUUCAAGGAAUACCUCACGUUGCUGUACAAAAAGUAUAAAACAUUCAAAGAGGAGUUCACACCAAUCUUAAACUGGCCGCUAAUGCCAAUAGAGUUUGAAGCUGCCUGGGCUGCACUCGUGCAAAAGUACAACCUGCAAAACGACCAGAUGAUGAUGCAGCUGUCGAGUGAUAGGAAAAUGUGGAUAUCAGCAUAUUACAAGAACAUUUUCUGUGCUAGAAUGACUUAUACACAAUGAAGCGAGAGCAUCAAUCACGUGCUCAAGAGAGAGUUUGUCAAGGGGACCCAGAACCUACACAGGUUUGCCAGGUGA
RNAcentral lists this ribosomal RNA (1197 nucleotides) under Triticum aestivum (bread wheat). Its description in RNAcentral is "partial small subunit ribosomal RNA". The record is from RNAcentral. Lineage: Eukaryota; Viridiplantae; Streptophyta; Magnoliopsida; Poales; Poaceae.